This 71-nucleotide transfer RNA is filed under the name Camellia sinensis var. pubilimba. Its description in RNAcentral is "tRNA-Phe". It matches the Rfam family "tRNA". Rfam says of the family: Transfer RNA (tRNA) molecules are approximately 80 nucleotides in length. Their secondary structure includes four short double-helical elements and three loops (D, anti-codon, and T loops). The record is from RNAcentral. Lineage: Eukaryota; Viridiplantae; Streptophyta; Magnoliopsida; Ericales; Theaceae.
UUCAAAAUAGCACAAUCAGGAAGUGCGCCGGGAAAGCACCUGAGAUGCUGGUUCAAUUCCAGCUUGUAAAU